ACUGUAUGAAAACUUUUUCCUGAUUUUUUUUCCUCCUCUCUGCUUCAACUCUGACUAAGCUCUGACUAUUCUAUCACAGGAGAUGUGAUAGAAUAAAGAGAACCUGAGACUAAGCCCCCAGUAUUCCUUCUAGACACACACAUGUACACACACACAUUCACUGCACACUUCUCACAUUCAGCAAGCCAAAUUGGGAAGGAGUAGGAUGCUAGACAGGAGAAACCCUAAUUUUAAUGAAGUUCAGAGCUGGUUUUUCAAACACAGUCAUUGACACAUCAAUUUUGAACUAAGAAUAUUAUUAUAACUGAGAUUACUAAAAGAGUUACCAUUUGGAAUAAUACUCAGCUAAAUUAUGGAUGCUUUGUAAGAUGUUAGUCAAGGGCAAAUAAAUAGUUGGUAGUAGAGAGAAAAGAGGAGAGGAGCAGAGAAAAUCAUAGUGGUUGUUUUCUUUUGUUAUCUAUGAGGCCUGCUUUUUCAGCAUUUGGGUCCCAUAUUCCCCUGCACAAUCAUGGAAUUUUCAUUUUUUUUAUGAAAAUUGUUUCAAAAUUCCGGGAUGCAGUCUAUAAACUGCAUGUAGUGUACAUCACAGACAUCCUAAUUUUCCUAACUAGGAAAAUUUUUCCUAGUUAGGAAAAUUUUUCCUAAUUUUCCUAGUUUUUCUAAUUCCUUAAACAAUACCAUUUAAACAAAAUUAUGCGAAGUUUUCUAAUACAGAAUAACCUGCCUGGGACUUCUGGAAGAUGGCAUGAUAUGAUGAUUUGUUUAUUUAUUUACUUUUAUUUUUUUUUAAAUCACUUUAUACACCACUUCCUAUAGCUAGCAGUGUGGGAAAGGUGAAUAGGUCUAAAGUUAUUUUCUUCUCUGUUUCAGCAUUUUUGAAAGGCACAAAAGGAAAUAAGACCAAUCCAGAAGUUUAUGAUUUCUCUCCAAUUUUUCCUUUUUCCCACAUGAGCCUAGCCUGGAAGUGCACAGACACACUAGGGCAUUAUCCCACUGUGUGGGAGAAACAUCUGCAGAGUGCGCCAUGGACCACCAGACUUGGAGCAAGAAAGAAGUAUGUGGGGGCGGAGGCGGCAGACAAUAAAAGAAAAACUAGGCGCUGGUUGGGCCCAAACAUUCAACAGAAUCGCCUAACCUUCAGGUUACCUUUAGUGUUAUAUAAGACGUCUAAAGAGCAAUAACAUUCAUAUGAAAAACAUUUUUUUAAAUGGUGGUGAAAUAGAAUUCAUAGCAUACCCUUCAAAAAAAUUUUUUUUCUGCGAGUCUGGGAAAUGUUAGCAUUCUGCUUUACACAUCACCCUCUAGAGAGCCCAAGCUGGGUGGUUUUCAUGUGCUCCUUUCUCCUCUUCCCUUGCAGCCACUUACUAAGGUGGCCAUGCAAAAGCCCAGGAGCUACAGGCCUCAGCUCAAACCAGAAGGAAGCACAGUGAAGACAGAUGAAUUCUGACCAGGAACAAAAUCUAGACAAAUGAAGGUAUCUAAGUGAAGAUGGUAUUGAUAAAGUAAUCAGCUUUUUCAAGAAAAGUGGCUCAUCUAAAGCAUGAAAUAAGCAUUUUACAAUAUUGGAAAUUGAAUCAUCAGAAUAUCAUGACAGCUAAUAAAGAAAAUGAACACUUGCCAACUUCAAACACCUGGUCUGCUGUUCUCAUUCACCCUGCAGAAUGGAUGGACACUAUGAGACCCAUUUACUUGGAUCUACUUCCAACUGGAACAGGAAUAGCAACAUGUGCUCUCUACGUUCCUACAUUGUGCAAAGGGUCCUUUCUGAUCAUAAGAAGGAAACAUUCUUUCAUAUGUUCGGUUCUCAACCUGAAAAUUUUGCACAUUUACAUACUUAUGGGCAAAACUGAAUCUGGUACAGAUCAGAAACUUGCAUAUGGUUUGUCUCGUAGUCCAUCUGGGUUUCAGUCCUCAUCCUCAUGCAAAAGAGCAAAGCCUGAAGGAACAAGAUGAUGGACUUCUUUUUGAUGGCUCAACCACAGCAAAAGGACAUGUAAACAAUAGAAUGUAUGAGAUUUUUUUUUUCAUUUCUCUCUUGAUCACAUAAGUAGCUGUAAGUACUAAAGUAGGCAAUGAGAUAAAGGUAAAUUUAGAUUGCUAUAAUGUAAUAAAUGGAAAUGCCAGGCAUGUCAUGAAUUGUGUUAACCGUUUCUCCCAACACCAUUACAUGUUAGGACUCCAUGCAUACUGACAAUAUAGGAUUAAAUACAAAUUUCAGAAUGAAUCUUUCCUAUUUUUAACAUAAUUCCCAAUUCCCAAUUCUCUCCAAACCCAAAUCCUAUAUGUUAUUGGUGGAUUAAUUUGCAAGCUCUGUUAACUAAUAUUUCUUCUACACAUGAUGCUUUAUUUAAAGUUCUACAAUAAUGAAAAUGGAGUGGAUAAAAAGGACUACUCAUUAUUAUUUUUAAAAAAUAUAUUAUAGAUUUCAAAAAUCAAAAUGCCACAUGAACAAAGGUAAACGUUUUUGAACAUAAAAUCAUUUUCAAAUUAACAGUAGGAAAUGGAAACUCAAGAUGGAGGUUAGGUCUUAUACAGAGAAGAGGCAGAGUAACAGAACCACAAAGAAAUAAAGGCACUAGGGACUAUUUUGAAAACAGUCAGAUGUUUCCUUAUUGUUUCAUUCCUUUUCAAGCACCAUAAUCCCCAAAAUACUAAUCACAUGAACUCCUCCCACCCAAAAAAUAAUAAUCAUUCCGUGUUUAAAAACUACUGUCCCUUGUUGGACUGCUUAGACCAGCUAUAGCAAUUCUAAUUACAUGAAGCUGGAAAGAAGGGGGGAAAAUUCUCCUUUGUGCUGCAAGACAGUCAUAUUAAACAACUAUCUCUUUUCUUUUUUGAUACUGACAUCUAUUGGAAAACAGGAGAAUAUGUGUAUGUUGUUUUUUGAAAUCAAAUAAAAACCAAUUAAAUUUAAGAUCUCCAUUUAAAUUAAAAAUUAAGAAUGUAUAAUAGAUUGACAUUUUAAUUAUACCAUUCUCUAACUGUCCUAAAACACAAUUAUAUGAGUUUUCGAUCACAUAGACCUCUUUUAAAGCCAGUAGCUGUUAUUGCAAAUAUAAUUAUAUAUCCUUUAAAACUCAUGCACUCUAGGUAAUGUGCUCAUGAUUCAAAAUAACAAUUGAACAUUAGCUAGUGAAAGAAAAAGAGUCAAGUUUGAUUUAAGCUCAAGUGUUCUCCUCAAUUCUCUGAAGAUUUUUCUUUCUACCAUUAUGAAUUGAUAACGUAAAGAAAAGACAGUUAUUUGAAAUACUUUGAUUGAUUCAAUUCUAUCCUUUUAAAAAAUAUUUGGGGAAUAAUUUAACUAAGGUUUUCCAAAUCUGUUUGGCACUUAGGCAAAAAUAUAUAUGACAAUAAAGCAUGUAUGCUAAUUGUGUAACUAGUACCUAAAUCUCUCUUCAAAUUAAGUAGAUCUACUUACUAAACCUACAUGGAGUAUUUCAUGUCCAAAGAAACUCUCAGACUUUCAUGGAGAUACAGAACACACAACCUGUUUGAUAAAACAGCCUGUGAAGUGUACAUUGAGCUUGGUUACAGACUUUACCAAAUAUCUCACUAUUUUUCUUUGAGCUUUUACCAAUAUAAGAAAAGCAAGAAUAUGAUGGAGAAAAGUAUUUUUCCUAAAAUUUAACUUCUAAAAUGUCAGUGCUUGUUUUUUUUACAAAAAUUAUAAAAUACAUAAUUGUGAUACAAAUGCAAGUAAUAUGUAGAAUAAGAAGUGAUAAUUCCCCCCUUGCCCUCACUUACUAUUAUUACUCUCCACCUCCUCUCAGGUAAAAAAUGUUAACUUUAAUAAAUUUUAAAAUUUUGAAAAGGAAGUAAGAAUCCCCUAACUGCUACUACUGAGGAACACUUAACCUCAAUAUUUUAUGAACAUCAUUUCAGACUUCUCACAUUUAUAAAGUAAGAUAUGAAUAAGAAAGAUAAAAUGUGACCAUACUCUUCACAUUAUUUUACAUUGGAAAUGUAUUAAAGUUAACAUGAAAUUCACAGAAUUAAAAUAAAUUGAAAUAAAGCCAAAGGAGUCAUUGAACUUUAGAUAAAUGUUUCUUUACAUUAAAAAUAUUAAUUCCUAAAGGUAGAUCCCACUAAACAUGACAGGAAAUAUAUGGAGAUAAUAUAAAAGAAAUAUAAAUAAAAACAUAAUUUCCUUAUAUUACAUUUUCAAAUUUAUAGUGCCUAUUGGCUCUUUGCUGUGCAAAAUAAAGGGUUCUGUAACUUAACUCCCAACUCCCUUUUCAAUCUUUAUUCCAUUUUUUAGCCUUAUUAAUUAGUUGUACAUAGUUAUGUUUCUAUAAUUGUAAGCACUACAAUUUAGAAGUUUUACUCUUAUCUAUUUUUAUUUCAUCUAUAUAUUUUUAUUAUGUUAUAUUCACAUUUCUUUGCCCACUGUAUUCAUAGUUUGCUUCUGAAUCUAUGGGUGAUGAUUUAUGGGCCAGACAUAUAGCUUAAUUUCAAUUUGUGUUACAGGGAAUAAAUCUUACUCAUAUUGAUAUAAGAAAUCAAUGUGACUUUAAAUUUUUUUAGAACCAAUUCUAUAUGAAAGAUCAAGAAAUGGAACAUUUAUUCCGUAAAAAUAGAUGACAUUAUGGUCUUCCUAUAAAAUGGCAUAUGCCAUGCUUUUUCUUUGGUUUUAUUUGUUUUGUUGUUGUUGUUGUUUAUUUUUAUAAAAAUCUAUACAGGGGUAUCGUUUCAACAGGCUCCUACAUAUUCUUGCCCUCUCCAGAGUGAUAUAAAGAACUUUAUUCAAUAGAAUGAAAGUGAAAAAAAACAAAAUUCAGUAAAAAAAUUAUAGAUACAUA
Molecule: long non-coding RNA, 4799 nt
Organism: Canis lupus familiaris (dog)
Lineage: Eukaryota; Metazoa; Chordata; Mammalia; Carnivora; Canidae
Exons: 3
Source: RefSeq, a predicted model, not a curated record